Molecule: ribosomal RNA, 443 nt
Filed under: uncultured bacterium
Lineage: Bacteria
Description: SSU rRNA
Rfam family: Bacterial small subunit ribosomal RNA
Source: RNAcentral
AGAACGAACGCUGGCGGCACGCCUAACACAUGCAAGUCGAGCGCCCAGCAAUGGGAGCGGCGGACGGGUGAGGAACACGUGGGAACAUGCCUUUCGGUUCGGCACAACUGCGGGAAACUGCAGCUAAUUCCGGAUACGCCCUUACGGGGAAAGAUUUAUCGCCGAAAGAUUGGCCCGCGUCUGAUUAGCUAGUUGGUGAGGUAAUGGCUCACCAAGGCUUCGAUCAGUAGCUGGUUUGAGAGAACGACCAGCCACACUGGGACUGAGACACGGCCCAGACUCCUACGGGAGGCAGCAGUGGGGAAUCUUGGACAAUGGAGGAAACUCUGAUCCAGCGAUGCCGCGUGAGUGAUGAAGGCCUUCGGGUUGUAAAACUCUUUCGACGGGGACGAUAAUGACGGUACCCGUAGAAGAAGCUCCGGCUAACUCGUGCCAGCAGCCGC